CACGUAGGGGGCAAGCGUUGUCCGGAUUUAUUGGGCGUAAAGAGCUCGUAGGCGGUUCGUCGCGUCGGCUGUGAAAACCCGGAGCUCAACUCCGGGCCUGCAGUCGAUACGGGCGGACUUGAGUGUUGCAGGGGAGACUGGAAUUCCUGGUGUAGCGGUGAAAUGCGCAGAUAUCAGGAGGAACACCGGUGGCGAAGGCGGGUCUCUGGGCAACUACUGACGCUGAGGAGCGAAAGCGUGGGGAGCGAACAGG
RNAcentral lists this ribosomal RNA (253 nucleotides) under uncultured bacterium. Its description in RNAcentral is "partial 16S ribosomal RNA". It matches the Rfam family "Bacterial small subunit ribosomal RNA", at positions 524 to 776 of the family's 1533-position model. The record is from RNAcentral.